UGGGGAAUAUUGCACAAUGGGGGAAACCCUGAUGCAGCGACGCCGCGUGAACGACGAAGGUAUUCGUAUCGUAAAGUUCUGUCCUAUGGGAAGAUAAUGACAGUACCAUAGAAGAAAGCUCCGGCUAAAUACGUGCCAGCAGCCGCGGUAAUACGUAUGGAGCGAGCGUUGUCCGGAAUUAUUGGGCGUAAAGGGUACGCAGGCGGUUUAAUAAGUCGAAUGUUAAAGAUCGGGGCUCAACCCCGUAAAGCAUUGGAAACUGAUAAACUUGAGUAGUGGAGAGGAAAGUGGAAUUCCUAGUGUAGUGGUGAAAUACGUAGAUAUUAGGAGGAAUACCAGUAGCGAAGGCGACUUUCUGGACACAAACUGACGCUGAGGUACGAAAGCGUGGGGAGCAAACAGG
Molecule: ribosomal RNA, 403 nt
Filed under: bacterium
Lineage: Bacteria
Description: partial 16S ribosomal RNA
Rfam family: Bacterial small subunit ribosomal RNA
Source: RNAcentral